RNAcentral lists this ribosomal RNA (413 nucleotides) under uncultured bacterium. RNAcentral's name for it is "bacterial SSU rRNA". It matches the Rfam family "Bacterial small subunit ribosomal RNA", at positions 44 to 502 of the family's 1533-position model. The record is from RNAcentral.
ACGCCUAACACAUGCAAGUCGAACGAAGUAGCAAUACUUAGUGGCAGACGGGUGAGUAACAUGUGGGUAUCUGCCCUUUGGCCUGGAAUAACACGAGGAAACUUGUGCUAAUACCGGAUAAGUCUUUACGGAGAAAGCUUUAUGCACCAUUGGAUGAGCCCGCACUUGAUUAGUUUGUUGGUGGGGUAAUGGCCUACCAAGACUGUGAUCAAUAGCUGAUUUGAGAGGAUGAUCAGCCACAUUGGGACUGAGACACGGCCCAAACUCCUACGGGAGGCAGCAGUGGGGAAUCUUGCACAAUGGAGGAAACUCUGAUGCAGCGAUGCCGCGUGAGUGAAGAAGGCCUUUGGGUUGUAAAGCUCUUUCGUCGGGGAAGAAAAUGACUGUACCCGAAUAAGAAGGUCCGGCUAACU